UUAUAAAUAAAGGCAACAGUAGUAUACCGCUGUUCAAAACUCGUAAAUCUAUGGACAAAAAAACAAAAUUGGGGUACAAACUAAAACUGAGGGAAACGCAUUAAAUAUAAGAGGAGAACAACGACACAACAUUAAAAUGUAACAUACACAGAAACGGACUAAGCAUUAGACAAAAUCCGAUGAGAAUAACAAAUAUAACAUCAAAACCAAAUACAUGAAUUUGGGAUAGAAAAGUACCGUGACACGUCUUAUAGUAAUGUGAAUGCACACUCAAAUAUAAGAGAAAACAAACGACACAACGGAAACACAACGUUAAAAUGUUACACACACAGAAACGAACUAUAAUAUAACAAUGGCCAUUUUCCUGACUUGGUACGGGAUAUUUUUAAAGAUACAAAUGGUGGGUUGAACCUGGUUUUGUGGCAUGCCAAACCUCGCACUUUAAUGGCAAUGUUAAAUAUAACAUUGAAAUGAC
RNAcentral lists this long non-coding RNA (475 nucleotides) under Mytilus galloprovincialis (Mediterranean mussel). The record is from RNAcentral. Lineage: Eukaryota; Metazoa; Mollusca; Bivalvia; Mytilida; Mytilidae.